This 22-nucleotide microRNA is filed under the name Eisenia fetida (common brandling worm). RNAcentral describes it as "Efe-Novel-1_3p* (star (passenger))". The record is from RNAcentral. Lineage: Eukaryota; Metazoa; Annelida; Clitellata; Crassiclitellata; Lumbricidae.
CAAUCCCCCUUACACAAUUUCU